This 258-nucleotide long non-coding RNA is filed under the name Nicotiana benthamiana. Its description in RNAcentral is "long non-coding RNA (NBEN_LNC008672)". Lineage: Eukaryota; Viridiplantae; Streptophyta; Magnoliopsida; Solanales; Solanaceae. The record is from RNAcentral.
UAACACUGUCCACUUUCGAUCUUGAAACCCCUUGCCUGCCUGAUCGCCUUACUCUCAAGGGAAGCCACUUUUCUCUUCAGAUUGUCAACAACUUUCUCGUGGUCCCUUUUCAGUUGAUUCAAGUAUUGGCGACGCUCUGUCGCUCUUGUACCCCAUUGUGCUUUGAGCCCUUCCAUGACACUCUCGGAUUUUUCUAUCUCACCCGGUACUCCCUAACUUCAUUUCUUAUCCAUUUUAUUAAUCAUUCAUCUAAUCGAC